CAGUCUUAGUUCGGAUUGUAGGCUGCAACUCGCCUACAUGAAGUCGGAAUUGCUAGUAAUCGCGGAUCAGCAUGCCGCGGUGAAUACGUUCCCGGGCCUUGUACACACCGCCCGUCACACCAUGGGAGUCGGUAACACCCGAAGCCUGUAGUCUAACCGCAAGGGGGACGCAGUCGAAGGUGGGGAUUGAUGACUGGGGUGAAGUCGUAACAAGGUAUC
This 219-nucleotide ribosomal RNA is filed under the name uncultured bacterium. RNAcentral's name for it is "partial 16S ribosomal RNA". It matches the Rfam family "Bacterial small subunit ribosomal RNA", at positions 1283 to 1500 of the family's 1533-position model. The record is from RNAcentral.